AUACAGAGGGUGCGAGCGUUAAUCGGAAUUACUGGGCGUAAAGCGCGCGUAGGCGGCUUUGUAAGUCGGAUGUGAAAGCCCUGGGCUUAACCUGGGAAUGGCAUUCGAUACUGCAGAGCUAGAGUAUGGUAGAGGGAAGUGGAAUUUCCGGUGUAGCGGUGAAAUGCGUAGAUAUCGGAAGGAACACCAGUGGCGAAGGCGACUUCCUGGGCCAAUACUGACGCUGAGGUGCGAAAGCGUGGGGAGCAAACAGGAUUAGAAACCCCAGUAGUCC
RNAcentral lists this ribosomal RNA (274 nucleotides) under uncultured bacterium. RNAcentral describes it as "partial 16S ribosomal RNA". It matches the Rfam family "Bacterial small subunit ribosomal RNA", at positions 523 to 796 of the family's 1533-position model. The record is from RNAcentral.